UGGGGAAUAUUGGACAAUGGGCGAAAGCCUGAUCCAGCCAUGCCGCGUGUGUGAAGAAGGUCUUCGGAUUGUAAAGCACUUUAAGUUGGGAGGAAGGGCAGUAAGCGAAUACCUUGCUGUUUUGACGUUACCGACAGAAUAAGCACCGGCUAACUCUGUGCCAGCAGCCGCGGUAAUACAGAGGGUGCAAGCGUUAAUCGGAAUUACUGGGCGUAAAGCGCGCGUAGGUGGUUCGUUAAGUUGAAUGUGAAAGCCCCGGGCUCAACCUGGGAAAUGCAUCCAAAACUGGCGAGCUAGAGUAGGGCAGAGGGUGGUGGAAUUUCCUGUGUAGCGGUGAAAUGCGUAGAUAUAGGAAGGAAAAACAGUGGCGAAGGCGACCACCUGGGCUCAUACUGACACUGAGGUGCGAAAGCGUGGGGAGCAAACAGG
RNAcentral lists this ribosomal RNA (429 nucleotides) under Pseudomonadota bacterium. RNAcentral's name for it is "Proteobacteria bacterium partial 16S ribosomal RNA". It matches the Rfam family "Bacterial small subunit ribosomal RNA", at positions 355 to 776 of the family's 1533-position model. Lineage: Bacteria; Pseudomonadati; Pseudomonadota. The record is from RNAcentral.